CGGAAUUAUUGGGCGGAAAGAGCUCGUAGGCGGGUCGGCAAGGCGGAUGGGAAAUCUCCACGCUCAACGUGGAGGGGCCAUUCGAAACUGCCGUGACUCGAGUCCGGUAGGGGAGUGCGGAAUUCCCGGUGUAGCGGUGAAAUGCGCAGAUAUCGGGAGGAACACCAGUGGCGAAGGCGGCACUCUGGGCCGGAACUGACGCUGAGGAGCGAAAGCGUGGGGAGCGAACAGG
This 232-nucleotide ribosomal RNA is filed under the name uncultured bacterium. RNAcentral describes it as "partial 16S ribosomal RNA". It matches the Rfam family "Bacterial small subunit ribosomal RNA", at positions 546 to 776 of the family's 1533-position model. The record is from RNAcentral.